RNAcentral lists this ribosomal RNA (292 nucleotides) under uncultured bacterium. RNAcentral describes it as "partial 16S ribosomal RNA". It matches the Rfam family "Bacterial small subunit ribosomal RNA", at positions 505 to 796 of the family's 1533-position model. The record is from RNAcentral.
GUGUCAGCCGCCGCGGUAAUACGAAUCGUCCUAACGUUGUUCGGAUUCACUGGGUUUAAAGGGCGCGUAGGCUGUGCGUUAAGUCGGUGGUGAAAUACUUCGGCUCAACCGGAGAAUUGCCGCUGAAACUGGCGCGCUAGAGGGAGGCAGAGGUGCAUGGAACUUCCGGUGGAGCGGUGAAAUGCGUUGAUAUCGGAAGGAACACCCGUGGCGAAAGCGGUGCACUGGACCUCUUCUGACGCUGAGGCGCGAAAGCCAGGGGAGCGAACGGGAUUAGAUACCCCCGUAGUCC